GAUGAACGCUGGCGGCGUGCCUAAUACAUGCAAGUCGAGCGAACGGACGAGAAGCUUGCUUCUCUGAUGUUAGCGGCGGACGGGUGAGUAACACGUGGAUAACCUACCUAUAAGACUGGGAUAACUUCGGGAAACCGGAGCUAAUACCGGAUAAUAUUUUGAACCGCAUGGUUCAAAAGUGAAAGACGGUCUUGCUGUCACUUAUAGAUGGAUCCGCGCUGCAUUAGCUAGUUGGUAAGGUAACGGCUUACCAAGGCAACGAUGCAUAGCCGACCUGAGAGGGUGAUCGGCCACACUGGAACUGAGACACGGUCCAGACUCCUACGGGAGGCAGCAGUAGGGAAUCUUCCGCAAUGGGCGAAAGCCUGACGGAGCAACGCCGCGUGAGUGAUGAAGGUCUUCGGAUCGUAAAACUCUGUUAUUAGGGAAGAACAUAUGUGUAAGUAACUGUGCACAUCUUGACAGCACCUAAUCAGAAAGCCACGGCUAACUACGUG
RNAcentral lists this ribosomal RNA (497 nucleotides) under uncultured bacterium. RNAcentral's name for it is "partial 16S ribosomal RNA". It matches the Rfam family "Bacterial small subunit ribosomal RNA", at positions 28 to 507 of the family's 1533-position model. The record is from RNAcentral.